UACGUAGGGUCCAAGCGUUGUUCGGAUUUACUGGGCGUAAAGGGCGCGUAGGCGGUGCGGUAAGUCACUUGUGAAAUCUCUGAGCUUAACUCAGAACGGCCAAGUGAUACUGCAGUACUAGAGUGCGGAAGGGGCAAUCGGAAUUCUUGGUGUAGCGGUGAAAUGCGUAGAUAUCAAGAGGAACACCUGAGGUGAAGACGGGUUGCUGGGCCGACACUGACGCUGAUGCGCGAAAGCCAGGGGAGCAAACGGG
RNAcentral lists this ribosomal RNA (253 nucleotides) under uncultured bacterium. RNAcentral's name for it is "partial 16S ribosomal RNA". It matches the Rfam family "Bacterial small subunit ribosomal RNA", at positions 524 to 776 of the family's 1533-position model. The record is from RNAcentral.